Molecule: ribosomal RNA, 497 nt
Filed under: uncultured bacterium
Lineage: Bacteria
Description: partial 16S ribosomal RNA
Rfam family: Bacterial small subunit ribosomal RNA
Source: RNAcentral
GAUGAACGCUGGCGGCGUGCCUAAUACAUGCAAGUCGAGCGAACGGACGAGAAGCUUGCUUCUCUGAUGUUAGCGGCGGACGGGUGAGUAACACGUGGAUAACCUACCUAUAAGACUGGGAUAAAUUCGGGAAACCGGAGCUAAUACCGGAUAAUAUUUUGAACCGCAUGGUUCAAAAGUGAAAGACGGUCUUGCUGUCACUUAUAGAUGGAUCCGCGCUGCAUUAGCUAGUUGGUAAGGUAACGGCUUACCAAGGCAACGAUGCAUAGCCGACCUGAGAGGGUGAUCGGCCACACUGGAACUGAGACACGGUCCAGACUCCUACGGGAGGCAGCAGUAGGGAAUCUUCCGCAAUGGGCGAAAGCCUGACGGAGCAACGCCGCGUGAGUGAUGAAGGUCUUCGGAUCUUAAAACUCUGUUAUUAGGGAAGAACAUAUGUGUAAGUAACUGUGCACAUCUUGACGGUACCUAAUCAGAAAGCCACGGCUAACUACGUG